RNAcentral lists this ribosomal RNA (253 nucleotides) under uncultured bacterium. RNAcentral's name for it is "partial 16S ribosomal RNA". It matches the Rfam family "Bacterial small subunit ribosomal RNA", at positions 524 to 776 of the family's 1533-position model. The record is from RNAcentral.
GACGAACCGAGCGAACGUUGUUCGGAAUCACUGGGCUUAAAGGGCGCGUAGGCGGGCUGUCAAGUCUGGGGUGAAAUCCCGCGGCUCAACCGUGGAACUGCCUUAGAUACUGACGGCCUCGAGGGAGAUAGGGGCGAGCGGAACUGUGAGUGGAGCGGUGAAAUGCGUUGAUAUUCACAGGAACUCCGGUGGCGAAGGCGGCUCGCUGGAUCUCCUCUGACGCUGAGGCGCGAAAGCUAGGGGAGCAAACGGG